CUUCGGAGCUUGCCGGAGAUCAAUCAAGGAGGCACGAAUCAUCUUGAUUUCCUCUGCUCAACCCUUCCCCGAUCUUUCUUCUCGAUUUUCCCGACCCUCUCCUCCCCCGAUCUGAUCGCCAGCUUGAAGAUGCCCUAGGGUUUCAAAGUUCUGGACUAGGAGGAAAGCAUCGGAUUAGUGGACCUCCCUGUUGUUGAUCGAGGUCCCGGUUAGAGUUGUUUCCCGCAGGUGAUGAGGUUGUGUACUGUUGGUGUUCUUGAUCUCACCUUGAACCCAAUUGAAUAGGGAAGGAUUUAAGGAGGAUUAUGUUCUGUGGAAACCAGUGAGGAUAUGAGAAGGUGAUCUUGGUUCCGAUAGGAAUAACCAUUGGAUCCAACAUCAAUAGCAGCUGGGACUUGAGGUAAGG
Zingiber officinale is the source of this 406-nucleotide long non-coding RNA. RefSeq lists it as uncharacterized. NCBI's taxonomy places the organism in Eukaryota, Viridiplantae, Streptophyta, Magnoliopsida, Zingiberales, Zingiberaceae. The record is from RefSeq and is a predicted model, not a curated record. The transcript is spliced from 3 exons.